Molecule: long non-coding RNA, 249 nt
Organism: Oncorhynchus masou masou (cherry salmon)
Lineage: Eukaryota; Metazoa; Chordata; Actinopteri; Salmoniformes; Salmonidae
Exons: 3
Source: RefSeq, a predicted model, not a curated record
GGGUAGGUAUCGUAUUGACCACGAGUCGAGACAGAAGUACAUGUGAAUACGCACAGAAAACACAUACGGUGCUAACAGACAGGUCUGCAUCCCAAAUGGCACCAUAUUGCCAAUCAGGGUUGCCUAGGCUACUUUGAAACAAGGACAAUGACCCAAAACACACCUCCAGGCUGUGUAAAGGCUAUUUGCCCAAGGAGGAGAGUGAUGGAUUGCUGUAUCAGAUGACCUGGCCUCCACAAUCCCCCGACC